UACGUAGGGCGCAAGCGUUAUCCGGAAUUAUUGGGCGUAAAGCGCGCGUAGGCGGCUACUUAAGUCGGAUGUGAAAGCCCCUGGCUCAACUGGGGAAGUGCACCCGAAACUGAGUGGCUUGAGUGCGAAAGAGGGUCGCGGAAUUCCCGGUGUAGAGGUGAGAUUCGUAGAUAUCGGGAGGAACACCGGUGGCGAAGGCGGCGACCUGGGUCGACACUGACGCUGAGGCGCGAAAGCGUGGGGAGCAAACAGG
This 253-nucleotide ribosomal RNA is filed under the name uncultured bacterium. RNAcentral's name for it is "partial 16S ribosomal RNA". It matches the Rfam family "Bacterial small subunit ribosomal RNA", at positions 524 to 776 of the family's 1533-position model. The record is from RNAcentral.